RNAcentral lists this ribosomal RNA (497 nucleotides) under uncultured bacterium. Its description in RNAcentral is "partial 16S ribosomal RNA". It matches the Rfam family "Bacterial small subunit ribosomal RNA", at positions 28 to 507 of the family's 1533-position model. The record is from RNAcentral.
GAUGAACGCUGGCGGCGUGCCUAAUACAUGCAAGUCGAGCGAACAGACGAGGAGCUUGCUCCUCUGACGUUAGCGGCGGACGGGUGAGUAACACGUGGAUAACCUACCUAUAAGACUGGGAUAACUUCGGGAAACCGGAGCUAAUACCGGAUAAUCUAUUGAACCGCAUGGUUCAAUAGUGAAAGACGGUUUUGCUGUCACUUAUAGCUGGAUCCGCGCCGCAUUAGCUAGUUGGUAAGGUAACGGCUUACCAAGGCAACGAUGCGUAGCCGACCUGAGAGGGUGAUCGGCCACACUGGAACGGAGACACGGUCCAGACUCCUACGGGAGGCAGCAGUAGGGAAUCUUCCGCAAUGGGCGAAAGCCUGACGGAGCAACGCCGCGUGAGUGAUGAAGGUCUUCGGAUCGUAAAACUCUGUUAUUAGGGAAGAACAAAUGUGUAAGUAACUAUGCACGUCUUGACGGUACCUAAUCAGAAAGCCACGGCUAACUACGUG